AUUUUUUUUUUAUGAAUUUUUUUUUUUUUUUUUUGAAUUGAUAACAAAGGAAGAUCUUUUUUUUUUUUUGUUAAAAUUUAUUAUUUUUUUUUUUAAAGUGAAUUAAAAAAAAGUAAUUACUAUUUGUUGGCGAGCCAAUUUUCUAACUUUACACAUUUAUUCAAAUGGGGAUUUUUCUUUUUAAAAAACAUUUGAUGUAUUUCUAAUUAUUAUCUUUGGAUACUAUGCUGACUAAUUUUAAAAAAUGUAGGUUUCAGCCAUAAAAUAAACAAAAUUAAAUUACUAGUGUUAUGCUAACUCUCUUAAUUUCAAGCCAACAAAAGUUAGCAGCACUUACUAGCUGAAUAACUGAUCCUCCCUCUGAAAUAAAACAACCCUAGAACUAAUAAAUCUCAUUGAAUUAAAGAAAAACCCAGUCAAGUGGCAGCAUUAUGACCUAGACUACCACAUAUUCUUGAUCUUAGUAAGAUUUUUAAAAUGGGAGGAUCUACAUUUUGAUUUUUGUGGAUAGUAGCAUCAAGAAAUAUGCUAAGUACAAAAUACUGUUCUAUCCAUAAUAAUGUUGACUUUUUUAAUCCUUUGAACUGAAACAAAAACAAACCUUUUGAAAGCACUUUUUGGUAACUUUCGUCUUGUAUUGCAGUAAUUAAUAUAAAAAAAAAAUUUUAGGCAUUUGACAAUUAUUUGAAAGCUAUCUAAGGAUGUCUUAUUUAAACCUAGAGUUCAGUGGAUUAAAUCAGUCUCACAGUGCACUUGAUUCACUGUGUAGUUGUGUGAUUUCAAUAUUUUAGUGUCCUACAUUUCAGUGUGUUCUAGCUUGACAGUUUAGUGUUUUCUUUGGAAACUUGCAUACAUUUUUUUUUUAUUGUGCACUUUUUAAGGAAAGCAAUUUUUAAGUCUGUCAUUAGGAGAAUUUAUUUCAUUCUUACAUAUUUUUUUUUGUUAUCCCUCCAAAACACAUUUUGCUCAGAUGAUUUAAGUCUGAAUUAUUUUUAAUGUUAAUUGAUGAAACAAAGCUUUGCUAGUGCUUAACAGUUAAGCUACUUUUUAAUGAAGUGUUAUUUCUUAAGUAAAUCAGCUAGUUUGUAACUUCUGUCCGUCACUUCUGUUUUUAAAUAUUUCAACUGAAAAUUGACCCUUUCCUUUGAUUGCUUAACUGACCAUUGCUGUCCCCCAUUUUGUUUGUCUAUAUUUUUAGUUUUGAUUUCAAUAUUUUUUUUUUUCCUUUUUCAAUGAUUUAAGAGUUUGUUGGAAACAACUGCUCCUGUGGGUGUCAUCAAAUGUCAUGUUUUUAACAUAUUAAACAUAGGUUGUAGUUGCAUUUGAAAGUGUUUUUAGUUAACGGAAUUCAAAUAAUUCAAUUUUCUGAUGCCUAGAAAAUAUUUAUAAUUCUGACAAAACUUUUAUUUAUACAGUAUGUUUUUACAUACCAUUAGGCCUAUACAAUAUUAUCAGAUGUCGUCAUCAAUUAAUCAUUUUUAAGUCUUAUCAAAAUUAAUAAAAACAUUAUGAGGUUAGGAAAGUUGUUUCUAAUAAUUAACUAAAAAAAUAUGCUUUGAACUAUCUCUAGUUUUAUUCCUAUGUAUAAGUAAAAAAUACAAUAUUACAUUUUUUGUCUUGUUGCUAUACUGCAAAACUCAGUAGAUUGUUGUAUUAGUUGUGACUACUGUACCUGUGUAUUUCAUAACACUUAGUUUGACCAAACUAUUUAUGUUGUUUAACUUUUGGCAGUUUGCUCCGGGGUACAUGUAUAUCUAGAGAGAAUCAAUUGGCAUCACGUAGUUGACCCAACAAACCAGUCAUUUGAUUAACAGCUGUCAUCAAAAGUUCUAAAUGUCCCAGGUUCAAAAUCUCCCACAGUAUCAGUAAAUCCCUUUUCUUUUUUAAUCCAUAAAAAAGUUUGAUUUUGUUUUUGACCAUGUGACUGGCUUUGACCAGUGGUCCUAUGUGAUGUGAUAGAAAAUGAAAAUCAAUCCUUACAAGAAUUAGUGAGCACACACUAUUGUGUAAUCAGACGUAGAGACAAUUGUAUUGAAACAGAACACUAGUAUCUCACACAAGCAGUCUGAACACUUGUUGCAGUAGUGGCAAUUGUUCUCAUUACAACCAACUGAACACUUUUUGUUUGCCUCACCUGUUCAAAGAAGCAUACUAUCAAAAAAAUAGAGUUAAAUCAACAAUUUCUGUACGGUAUAUUUUUUUUGUUUGCUCCUACAGCUGUACUCUAGAAUCAACAUAGCCUAACUAUGAAGUAGGUUCAUGAGCUCACAUUGAAAGUUUAUGUGUGUUUUAUUUUCUCUCUAAAUAACUACAUGACCUUCUGUGUAGAACACUUGUAUUAAGCAUGCAACUCUUCCAUAAUGUCAAUUUUUUUUUCUUUGUUUAAACUUUUUAGUCUUGUGUAUAAUUUUCUCCUAAAUACUACAACAAUAGUGUUUUGAUUCAAUCAUUCUAAGGGUUUUCUAAGUUUUAUUCAGACUUGAAUGGGAGGGUUCAUAGACUGGUCAUGAGAUGAUACAAUGACUGGAAACUGUCAUCUAAAUAGAAGAGUUAGUUGCAAACAUCCUGUAGUAUUGCAAUGUACAUUUUCUAUGUCAACAAAGUCCUCAAAAAGUAUUAGCAAAGAUGAUGAAAUAAUCAAGACACAUGAUGGAUGGUGUCUAAGACUAGUGACUAGGGUUAUCCUAUGAGUAGAAGCUCUUAAUAAGUGUAAAAACACUAUUGUUUAGUUGUGUAUUGUGGCAAGUAGUUCUGGCCCACAAGAGAAACCCCAAAAUUGUUAGAGAAGUUGUCCUUUACUGGUGUAUGUUAUGAGAAGGUUAUAUGAUUCAAUAAAUGUUGUAUUCAACAAAAU
Molecule: non-coding RNA, 2854 nt
Organism: Biomphalaria pfeifferi
Lineage: Eukaryota; Metazoa; Mollusca; Gastropoda; Planorbidae
Source: the annotation of a GenBank genome assembly